CACCGCCCGUCACACCAUGGGAGCGGGUUCUGCCAGAAGUAGUUAGCCUAACCGCAAGGAGGCAGCUGACCACGGUGGGAUCAGCGACUGGGGUG
RNAcentral lists this ribosomal RNA (95 nucleotides) under uncultured bacterium. RNAcentral describes it as "partial 16S ribosomal RNA". The record is from RNAcentral.